This 2429-nucleotide long non-coding RNA is filed under the name Homo sapiens (human). RNAcentral describes it as "survival associated mitochondrial melanoma specific oncogenic non-coding RNA, transcript variant 8 (SAMMSON)". Lineage: Eukaryota; Metazoa; Chordata; Mammalia; Primates; Hominidae. The record is from RNAcentral.
GGGCAGACACACUGAAGUCGCUAGACAUUUGAGGAACACAUCCGGGGAAGAAGACACAGGUGGCUGGUCAUGGAGAGCCCGCUGGGGGAAGAGCACACAGACAGGCACCGGCAGGCCAUUGACCAGCGGGACAAGGUGGGCUCAAUGUCAUCACAAGGGUGCUUAAGAGGGAAAGAGGAAGCCAUGAGGGUCAGAGUCAAAGGAAGACUUGAAGAUACUACACUGCGGACUUUAAAGAUGAAGGAAGGGGCGAAAACCAAGAAUGUGGGAAGCCUCUAGAAGCUAGAGAAGGCAAGGAAACAAAUUUUCCACUAGAGCCUCCAGAAGGAACACAGCCCUGCUGACCCACUGUAAUGUCUGACCUCUAGAUGUGUAAGGGUAGUAAGACUGAAAGUCUCAGAAAGGCACUGUUAAAUUCUUAUUCCUCAACUAUGCAACUCAAAACUGGGGUCCUCAGCAGUGAGCGAGGGGUGAGAGAAGACACUGUAUAAACAUGGCACAUCCUCCUGGAAAGUCAACUUUACUCAAAGGCUGCAGGCCGUAUUAUGCUAAAUCAAGGAUACGGGGAGAUAAUUAACAUAGCAACUCUGGCAAUUUUAAUAGGUUCUUACACACAGUGACAGCUAGCAGAGUCUAAAAUGCUGACAUUAUGACUUAGAGAUGUGAUAAAGAGAAACAUCUAUUGCAUUUUCUGUAAGUAAAUGUGGUGCCGGCAUUGAGAGAACAUACGUAAUCAGAUACCUGUUCUCCCUGAGUUUCUUAAUUUAAGCCUCGCGAUUCCUAAUUAGCAGUUAGAUUGCAUCCAUUGUUAUUUUGUCUUUGGUUAUCAAUGAUGAUCAACCUUUGCUAAACAAAGAUAUGUCAUCAUGCUGGGGACACUCAUGGAUUUUUUUUUAAAGGUUUUAACAUUUGAUAAUAGGUUUUCCAAUAGCUUGAAGGGUAGCUUUUAACAUUUCUUUUCCAGCUGAAGUAUUUCCUGAGUUCUGUCCAAGCCCUCUGUAGUUAAAGAAAAGGCUUUUUGACACUGAAUAGACAAUGUUGUGGCUUUUUUUUUCCUUCUUCAGACAAAUGUAUAGGCAUUUAGACCGCCACGUUGUACUCUCGUAAUUGAGAUACCUUGCAGAAAUGGCAAUUAAGGGUGACUCGUGUCAAAAAUAUUCAGGACAAAUUACAUUUUACUGAUUUUUAAAAACUUUCAAAGGUACUCUCUCCUCUUUCUUUCUCCUUUCUCUCUUCCUGCCUCCCUCCCACCCGCUCCUCGUUUUUUCUUUUAAAUAUUAAGUAAACUAUUUGCAUUUUUACGUCUCAUCAAAGUUGUUCCAGGUUUUUUCUGGGUUUACUGAAACUCCAAAUCGACUACUCAGAUCAAAACAAUUAGUGAAGUCUAAGGUAUUCUUAAUUCCUGAAAUGAAAACAGAAUGGACGUUCGGGACGUUCUGUUUUGCUCUGGCUACCCGCUUGGCUUCUCGCUCAGAAUAUUCUUGCUCUCAAGUUAGUUCCAGUUCUGUUUAUUUUGUCCUGAGCUCAGUGAACUUUCCAAAGCCCUACUCUUCAAACAACACUUUUUUUCCCCCGCCCCGUGAGCUGGAGUUUAUUUUGUGCUCACCCUUCAUUCUGUGAGUUGUGAAUAAUUUUAACACAAAGAAAAAAAAAUCUCCUCCUGACCACGGAGAGAAGAGGGGAUUUUAGAAUAAAGAUAAAAAUUGCUGUUUUAGCCCCCAAAGCAAAGGACUUGGGAAAGAAGAGAAAAGGGGGGAAAAUAGAACAGCAAAGGAAAAAAAAAAAAAAAAAAAACAGAAAAAAAUUUUUUAUAAGGGUGUCAGUACAAAACAGGUGUUUGAUGAAGCUCAAGCAAAACAAAUGACAAAGUUAGCAUUGAAAGGCCAAAUACGUGAUACACAUUUAAACUACUUAGGUAAAUUUAUUUAUGAAAUAAAUAUGCAGUUUUUCAAAUUUGAACAUGGAGCAAAUGUUUACAGAUUGAAACUUAUCAUUUCUUGAUUACCAGUAUGAAGUAGGGCAAUAGUCCUAUUGAAAGCCAUUCUUAAUUGGGCUCAUUGUAAAUGUUUGGUUAAAAGAAAAGAUUAAAGUGAGCUUUGGCCUCUGUGGAAUGCUGAGGCUGGUGAAAUUUCUGGUUCUAGCAUUAUCCUCAAAUUGUCUCACAGAGAAUUAUAUUUUACAAAGUUAGAAGGCGGAAGAACCCUACUCUUUGUUUUAGGUUUGCCUAGCAUCCAGUCAGAGAUGGGUAAAUAAGGACAGAACCAUGGGACUCCAGUGGCCUUACUUAGGAGGCCCAUACUAAUGGCAACGGCAAGACAGUGCUACAUAGACAUAAAUAAUCUGUGAUUGCAGAUGUGCAGGUACAGUAUAAAAAAAUUAUUCUAUCCUUAUAGUCUUAGGUGUUGGCACAUUUCUUUUGAGCCCAUGUA